This is a long non-coding RNA of Carassius carassius (crucian carp), 298 nucleotides long. RefSeq lists it as uncharacterized. NCBI's taxonomy places the organism in Eukaryota, Metazoa, Chordata, Actinopteri, Cypriniformes, Cyprinidae. The transcript has 2 exons. The record is from RefSeq and is a predicted model, not a curated record.
CAUUCUCAGGUAUAAUUAAAAAGAAAGCUUUUAUUCUUUGCAAAGAAGGUCAGACAGUCAUACAGCAACAGUGAGUUCCUGCAGAGUGAAACCAACCCAGGAAGAGGGCAGUCCUCCACCUUAUAUCCCUUUGCUGCGUCAAGGUUACAAAGUCUUAGCAGCUGUAAAUUUCCACACAUAACAAGGAAUACUCUCUAUGGGCUGUUUCUCACACAUUUAGGACUUAGGUGACCCCCUCAGGUCAUUCUCAGACAUCUGUUUUCCCCCCAGGUGUCAUCCAUCUGAACCCACACAGCAA